This is a non-coding RNA of Penicillium salamii, 179 nucleotides long. The record is from the annotation of a GenBank genome assembly. Lineage: Eukaryota; Fungi; Ascomycota; Eurotiomycetes; Eurotiales; Aspergillaceae.
UGGCAAGAUGGCCGAGUUGGUCUAAGGCGUUAGACGUCAGUAUCCCCACAUUGAUCUUACACUCAGAUCCCAAACUAACUCCCACAUAGUCAAGACACUAAGUCGUCUUCUCUGUGACACAAACACAGUGAGCAUUCUAAUCUCGCAAGAGGCACGGGUUCGAAUCCCGUUCUUGUCAU